RNAcentral lists this ribosomal RNA (253 nucleotides) under uncultured bacterium. Its description in RNAcentral is "partial 16S ribosomal RNA". It matches the Rfam family "Bacterial small subunit ribosomal RNA", at positions 524 to 776 of the family's 1533-position model. The record is from RNAcentral.
UACAGAGGUCCCGAGCGUUGUUCGGAUUCAUUGGGCGUAAAGCGCGCGCAGGCGGUCCUUUAAGUCUGAUGUGAAAGCCCACGGCUCAACCGUGGAGGGUCAUUGGAAACUGGAGGACUUGAGUACAGAAGAGGAAAGCGGAAUUCCACGUGUAGCGGUGAAAUGCGUAGAGAUGUGGAGGAACACCAGUGGCGAAGGCGGCUUUCUGGUCUGUAACUGACGCUGAGGCGCGAAAGCGUGGGGAGCAAACAGG